UCCCUGGUGGUCCAGUGGUUAAGACUCUGUACUGCUAGUGCAGGGGGCUCGGGUUCAAUACCUGGUCAGGGAA
RNAcentral lists this transfer RNA (73 nucleotides) under Capra hircus (goat). It matches the Rfam family "tRNA". Rfam says of the family: Transfer RNA (tRNA) molecules are approximately 80 nucleotides in length. Their secondary structure includes four short double-helical elements and three loops (D, anti-codon, and T loops). Lineage: Eukaryota; Metazoa; Chordata; Mammalia; Artiodactyla; Bovidae. RNAcentral also lists the same sequence under 1 other name. The record is from Rfam by way of RNAcentral.